ACAUGCAAGUCGAACGAAGUAGCAAUACUUAGUGGCAGACGGGUGAGUAACAUGUAGGUAUCUACCCUUUGGCCUGGAAUAACACGAGGAAACUUGUGCUAAUACCGGAUAAGUCUUUACGGAGAAAGCUUUAUGCACCAUUGGAUGAGCCUGCACUUGAUUAGUUUGUUGGUGGGGUAAUGGCCUACCAAGACAAUGAUCAAUAGCUGAUUUGAGAGGAUGAUCAGCCACAUUGGGACUGAGACACGGCCCAAACUCCUACGGGAGGCAGCAGUAGGGAAUCUUGCACAAUGGAGGAAACUCUGAUGCAGCGAUGCCGCGUGAGUGAAGAAGGCCUUUGGGUUGUAAAGCUCUUUCGUCGGGGAAGAAAAUGACUGUACCCGAAUAAGAAGGUCCGG
RNAcentral lists this ribosomal RNA (398 nucleotides) under uncultured Pseudomonadota bacterium. Its description in RNAcentral is "bacterial SSU rRNA". It matches the Rfam family "Bacterial small subunit ribosomal RNA", at positions 53 to 496 of the family's 1533-position model. The record is from RNAcentral. Lineage: Bacteria; Pseudomonadati; Pseudomonadota.